GGGAUUGCCCCAGUAACGGCGAGUGAAGCGGCAACAGCUCAAAUUUGAAAUCUGGCCCCUAGGGUCCGAGUUGUAAUUUGUAGAGGAUGCUUUUGGUGAGGUGCCGCCCGAGUUCCCUGGAACGGGACGCCGCAGAGGGUGAGAGCCCCGUCUGGCUGGCCACCGAGCCUCUGUAAAGCUCCUUCGACGAGUCGAGUAGUUUGGGAAUGCUGCUCAAAAUGGGAGGUAUAUGUCUUCUAAAGCUAAAUAUUGGCCAGAGACCGAUAGCGCACAAGUAGAGUGAUCGAAAGAUGAAAAGCACCUUGAAAAGAGGGUUAAACAGUACGUGAAAUUGUUGAAAGGGAAGCGCUUGUGACCAGACUUGGGCGCGGCGGAUCAUCCGGGGUUCUCCCCGGUGCACUUCGCCGUGUUCAGGCCAGCAUCAGUUCGGCGCGGGGGAAAAAGGCUUCGGGAACGUGGCUCCUCCGGGAGUGUUAUAGCCCGUUGCAUAAUACCCUGCGCUGGACUGAGGACCGCGCAUCUGCAAGGAUGCUGGCGUAAUGGUCACCAGCGACCCGUCUUGAAACACC
RNAcentral lists this ribosomal RNA (569 nucleotides) under Trichoderma atroviride. Its description in RNAcentral is "eukaryotic LSU rRNA". It matches the Rfam family "Eukaryotic large subunit ribosomal RNA", at positions 71 to 663 of the family's 3401-position model. The record is from RNAcentral. Lineage: Eukaryota; Fungi; Ascomycota; Sordariomycetes; Hypocreales; Hypocreaceae.